RNAcentral lists this small RNA (124 nucleotides) under Marmota monax (woodchuck). The record is from RNAcentral. Lineage: Eukaryota; Metazoa; Chordata; Mammalia; Rodentia; Sciuridae.
GCUGGGCAUGUUGGCACACAUCUGUAAUCCCAGAGGCUUGGGAGGCUGAGGCAAGAGGAUCACUAGUUCAAAGCCAGCCUCCGCAAAAGUGAGGCCUAAGCAACUCAGUGAGCCCCUGUCUCUA